CAGAAAGUCUAAUCCAUACCACUGCAAAAUCUAAAAACUGCAGCCUGUCAUCAAUUACUCCAUGUUUUAUAUCUCCAUUAUUAUAAAAUAUUUUUACUGGUUCAGCCGACUUGAGGUCAAAGUGGGCUGCGUGUGGCACAUGAACUAAAAAGAGUUUGACACCCCUGUCCUAGAAAAUGGGCAGAUGUAUGUAGGCUGUUAGAGUGAAGUGCCACUCGACUGGAUCAAUCUGUAACCACAUCCUACACAAGUGCAGACACGUUAACCUGCAAGCAACCUGCAAUUCCCCAAACCAAUCAGACGCUGUGUGAGUGUGCUGUCGACACAGCAGUAUUUAAGAUAUGAACUGGUUAUCGAUGAAUGUGAUUAACACUUUCAACUGACUGGAAUUUUUGCACAAACAAUGUUUGACACGAUGUUCAGUUUUCUCACUGCUGCUGUUUAGUAAUUUUAUUUUUUCAUGUUUUUCUUCAUGUUUUCAUUUUCUUUAUUUUUUAUUGUUCUGUUUUGUUUUGUCUUUUACUAUAAGUUGGCUGUGCAUAUUAAAGGCUUUUUUUUUUCUUGUCCUGUCCAGCAGUUUAACGUCGGAAUUGUUGUCUGAAGGCCAAAAAAUGCCCAGCAAAUUUACUUUCACAGGUGUAGCAUUACGAUAUUCACUAUAAUGGUCCACCUGGUCGUCAUAUUUUACUAGAACUUUUUUUUUUUUUUUUGGAUUAUUACAACCAUAACAGACAAGACUGGGGGACAGAAACAAAAAAAGAAAGAAAAUAAAGAAAUGUAACAGAAAGAGAAGGAGAGAAAAAUAAAGGGGAAGAAGAGGGAUGAAGAGAGAAAGGAACCUGCCAGGUGCCCGACAGAGGCAGGGAGCCUCUGGCGGCAAAACAGCACACACCUAAACAUUCAAACCCCGGACACCGAAGACCACCAAUGGCGGCAGGUGGGGGCACCAGCCACUGGCAUGGAUUGUGGCGUCGGGAAAUAGGCCCCACACCUGGUCCCCCAGGCCUGGCAUGUUCUAAGAGAGAGGGAGAGUCUAAGACCUGACUUGACACAUAGACAAAGAGUCAUACACAGGUCUUGAUGCAUGCUCAAUCAUCCAGG
This is a long non-coding RNA of Astatotilapia calliptera (eastern happy), 1101 nucleotides long. Lineage: Eukaryota; Metazoa; Chordata; Actinopteri; Cichliformes; Cichlidae. The record is from Ensembl.